ACGAAGGGGGCUAGCGUUGCUCGGAAUUACUGGGCGUAAAGGGCGCGUAGGCGGACAUUUAAGUCAGGGGUGAAAUCCCAGAGCUCAACUCUGGAACUGCCUUUGAUACUGGGUGUCUUGAGUGUGAGAGAGGUAUGUGGAACUCCGAGUGUAGAGGUGAAAUUCGUAGAUAUUCGGAAGAACACCAGUGGCGAAGGCGACAUACUGGCUCAUUACUGACGCUGAGGCGCGAAAGCGUGGGGAGCAAACAG
Molecule: ribosomal RNA, 251 nt
Filed under: uncultured prokaryote
Description: partial 16S rRNA
Rfam family: Bacterial small subunit ribosomal RNA
Source: RNAcentral